GAACCUAAAGUUUUUAUUAAAACAACAAAAAGCUACCUAUAACUAUAAGAUUUCACGUUAUAGAACUGAACAUGUAGGGCAUGUGAGACUUACUAGGGAUUCAAAACGUAUCUGACAUGACGAGUUUUUUUUUUUUUUUUUUUGUGAAAUUAAUCUAGUAAAAUAAAAACUGAAUGAUAAUAUAAAUAAAAUAAAUUAUAUAUGUGUACUGUAUAUAUGUAUUGUUAUAUAUAUAUAUAUAUAUAUAUAUAUAUAUAUAUAAAAGCAAGAUUGAGAGAAGCUUUGAAUUUGUGUUACAAAGAGAACAUAUG
Molecule: long non-coding RNA, 311 nt
Filed under: Capsella rubella
Lineage: Eukaryota; Viridiplantae; Streptophyta; Magnoliopsida; Brassicales; Brassicaceae
Description: long non-coding RNA (CRUB_LNC004686)
Source: RNAcentral